This 483-nucleotide ribosomal RNA is filed under the name uncultured bacterium. Its description in RNAcentral is "bacterial SSU rRNA". It matches the Rfam family "Bacterial small subunit ribosomal RNA", at positions 38 to 507 of the family's 1533-position model. The record is from RNAcentral.
ACGCUGGGCGGCGUGGAUUAGGCAUGACAAGUCGAACGCGAAACGUUCCCUUCGGGGGAGCGAGUAGAGUGGACGAAAGGGUGAGUAAUGCUUGGAUGACCUGCCCUCGAGACGGGGACAACAGUUCGAAAGGACUGCUAAUACCCGAUAGUCCGGUUUAGAUGCGUCUAGAUCGGUAAAUGGUGCUUCCGCUCGAGGAGGGGUUCAAGUCCUAUCAGCUUGUUGGUGAGGUAACGGCUCACCAAGGCGAUGACGGGUAGCCGGACUGAGAGGUUGGCCGGCCACAUGGGAACUGAGACACUGUCCUGACUCCUACGGGAGGCUGCAGUCGAGAAUCUUCUGCAAUGGGCGAAAGCCUGACAGAGCGACGCCGCGUGGAGGAUGAAGGCCCUCGGGUCGUAAACUCCUGUCACAUGUUAUGAAACGCACAGGUCUACCUGUGCGCUGACAAAAGCAUGAGAGGAAGUCACGGCUAACUUCGUG